This 468-nucleotide ribosomal RNA is filed under the name uncultured bacterium. RNAcentral's name for it is "partial 16S ribosomal RNA". It matches the Rfam family "Bacterial small subunit ribosomal RNA", at positions 28 to 507 of the family's 1533-position model. The record is from RNAcentral.
GACGAACGCUGGCGGCGUGCUUAACACAUGCAAGUCGAACGGAAAGGCCCUGCUUUUGUGGGGUGCUCGAGUGGCGAACGGGUGAGUAACACGUGAGUAACCUGCCCUUGACUUUGGGAUAACUUCAGGAAACUGGGGCUAAUACCGGAUAGGAGCUCCUGCUGCAUGGUGGGGGUUGGAACGUUUCGGCGGUUGGGGAUGGACUCGCGGCUUAUCAGCUUGUUGGUGGGGUAGUGGCUUACCAAGGCUUUGACGGGUAGCCGGCCUGGGAGGGUGGCCGGCCACAUGGGGACUGAGAUAGGGCCCAGACUCCUACGGGAGGCAGCAGUGGGGAAUAUGACACAAUGGGCGGAAGCCGGAGGAAGAGACGCCGCGUGCGGGAUGACGGCCUGCGGGGUGUAAACCGCUUUCGCCUGUGACGAAGCGGGAGUGACGGUAAUGGGUAAAGAAGCACCGGCUAACUACGUG